AAAUUGAAGAGUUUGAUCAUGGCUCAGAUUGAACGCUGGCGGCAGGCCUAACACAUGCAAGUCGAGCGGAAACGAGUUAUCUGAACCUUCGGGGAACGAUAAGGGCGUCGAGCGGCGGACGGGUGAGUAAUGCCUAGGAAAUUGCCCUGAUGUGGGGGAUAACCAUUGGAAACGAUGGCUAAUACCGCAUGAUGCCUACGGGCCAAAGAGGGGGACCUUCGGGCCUCUCG
RNAcentral lists this ribosomal RNA (230 nucleotides) under Vibrio parahaemolyticus. RNAcentral's name for it is "partial 16S ribosomal RNA". It matches the Rfam family "Bacterial small subunit ribosomal RNA", at positions 1 to 219 of the family's 1533-position model. The record is from RNAcentral. Lineage: Bacteria; Pseudomonadati; Pseudomonadota; Gammaproteobacteria; Vibrionales; Vibrionaceae.